CAUGGGUGGCGGACGGGUGAGUAACGCGUGGGCAACCUGGCCUGUACAGGGGGAUAACACUUAGAAAUAGGUGCUAAUACCGCAUAACGGGGGAAGCCGCAUGGCUUUUCCCUGAAAACUCCGGUGGUACAGGAUGGGCCCGCGUCUGAUUAGCCAGUUGGCAGGGUAACGGCCUACCAAAGCGACGAUCAGUAGCCGGCCUGAGAAGGCGGACGGCCACACUGGGACUGAGACACGGCCCAGACUCCUACGGGAGGCAGCAG
Molecule: ribosomal RNA, 263 nt
Filed under: uncultured bacterium
Lineage: Bacteria
Description: partial 16S ribosomal RNA
Rfam family: Bacterial small subunit ribosomal RNA
Source: RNAcentral